CCAGAGGGCGGCAGAGAACAAGGUGGUGGUGCUCAGGAGCUGGUGCACAGAUCAAUAAGAUCAUUGGGCCUCAGGCUGUUUUUCUUUGUCGGGGCAAGUACUAGGCAUCAGGCCAAACUUUUCCCUAGGGCGGAUCCCAUUACAGGGCACUGUGAAUACAGGUGUGAAGGACUCAGGAGCUGGGAUGAAUUCCCACCCCAUGGAGCUGAGUGUCUCAUCACAGGCUCUUGCUCUGGUGACUGGAAGACCGAGUUAAAAAACAAACAAAUCAGAAAACAACAACAACAACAACAGCAGCAAGUACUUUCUGGGGAAUUUGGAAUAAGAAUCUGGUCUUUAUUCCUUUCCCCUGCCUAAAUUUAGCAGGAUGUGCGUGGCACAUAUUUCUAAGAGUACUCUUUAAUUUUAUUAAAGAUUGCAUCUGACUGAUCUAAUCUUAUUUCAAUAAACACUUGUGACUGACCCUGUCCUGUAUGUUUCCUUGUGUCCCUUUGUUCAUGGUUUUGU
Molecule: long non-coding RNA, 507 nt
Organism: Vombatus ursinus (common wombat)
Lineage: Eukaryota; Metazoa; Chordata; Mammalia; Diprotodontia; Vombatidae
Exons: 3
Source: RefSeq, a predicted model, not a curated record